UUUCAAAUGCAGCAUCAUCAGGAUUCUCA
Molecule: small RNA, 29 nt
Filed under: Arabidopsis thaliana (thale cress)
Lineage: Eukaryota; Viridiplantae; Streptophyta; Magnoliopsida; Brassicales; Brassicaceae
Description: ATSL184340
Source: RNAcentral